This 468-nucleotide ribosomal RNA is filed under the name uncultured bacterium. RNAcentral's name for it is "partial 16S ribosomal RNA". It matches the Rfam family "Bacterial small subunit ribosomal RNA", at positions 28 to 507 of the family's 1533-position model. The record is from RNAcentral.
GACGAACGCUGGCGGCGUGCUUAACACAUGCAAGUCGAACGGAAGGGCCCUGCUUUUGUGGGGUGCUCGAGUGGCGAACGGGUGAGUAACACGCGAGUAACCUGCCCUUGACUUUGGGAUAACUUCAGGAAACUGGGGCUAAUAUCGGAUAGGAGCUCCUGCUGCAUGGUGGGGGUUGGAAAGUUUCGGCGGUGGGGGAUGGAAUCGCGGCUUAUGAGCUUGUUUGUGGGGUAGUUGCUUUCCAAGCCUUUGACGGGUAGGCGGCCUGGGAGGGCUACCGGGCACAUUGGGACUAAGAUACGGCGCAGAAUCCUACGGGAGGCAGCAGUGGGGAGUAUUACAGAAUGGGCGGAAGCCUGAUGCAACAACGCCGCGUGCGGGAUGACGGCCUUCGGGUUGUAAACCGCUUUCGCCUGUGACGAAGCGAGAGUGACGGUAAUGAAUAAAGAAGCACCGGCUAACUACGUG